CCGCGUGUCAGCUUUGACCUUGGUCAAGUUAACGUUGACCGGUCCCACCGGUCAUACACCCAAACCAGCCUGUGACACUGACCGAAGGGCCCCACUGGUCAGGUUUGACCUGGACCGCGCCCGUUGACCGCUGACGUCACCCUGACGCAAUGCUGACGCAAUUAACAAUUUUCUGGAUUUAAAAUAAAUCCAGGAAAUUUCAGAAAAUAUCCUAAACUUCUAAAAAUCAUAGAAAUUCAACCGUAACUCCAAAUGAAAUAAAUUAUAUAUGAAAAAUGAUCAGAAAAAUCCAAUCUAUCCAUCUGUACCAUUUUCAUGCAUGUUAGAACAACUUAUAGCUGCUGUUUAGCACAAAUCAUUUAAAUGGCAUUUGAAUAAUCACAUAUGGAGUUUGAAUUUGAAUCUUGUAUUCAAACCAACUCCAUUUAAUCUGUUGCUAGUUGCAUUAGCUCAAACCACAGCAUAUUGCCUUGUCAUGAUCAUGCAUCAUAUUGUGCAUUUGCAUUGAUUGUGUUUCUUUCUCAGUUGCCGGUAAUUGCCCCCUCUCGAUAGACGCGUUCCGACGAUGAGUUCGAUGACACCGAUGAAGAGAUAUAUUGUCUUCAGAAGUGCCAGGCAAGCAAAACCCCCUUGUUCAUUCCGAUACAAUCCCACUCUCUCGCUCCUGCUCUCUUUUACUGCAUUAGGACAACAACGUUUCAACUGUUACAUGCUGCGGUAGUUGAACCCCUUUAUCCUCUGCAUGACCUGUCAUUCCACAGUAAAUAGAUGAAACCCACUAGCAUGAGUAGGAGUUGUUUGAGCCCUGAUGUGCCUACUCAUUCAUGCUUGUUUGUCAUGCCUGCUAUUGCUUAGAGUUGUGUCAGGUCUGAUUCAUCGGGAAUGAAUCGGAGGUGUGUGAACAUGUCCUACUGUUGAGAGCUAAAUGUGUGAACACGAUUUGGUAAAGGUAGCGGUGAGAGGCCAUGUAGGAGUACAUGGUGGGUUGUCUCAUUGCAGCCGUCCUCAGGAACUGAGUUCUGUGUUUGUGAUCCAUGAACAGUUACUACCACACAUUGGGUUCCGAUAACUCGACCCCUCUCGGCUUCUUAAUCACCCUUGUUCUCUGUCCAGGAGUUGCAACUAGUUUCUGGUGUUUGUAGGUAGAGUUAGUAGUCUACCAAGUGGCACCCGGUACAGGUGGGCUUGGGACAGACUAGGCACAGUGGCCCGGUGUACCAAGUGGCACCCGGAUGGUGGACUUGGGAACCCUGCACACAUCAUUUGGGGCCGUGAGCGACACCCCGGCCGGAUCUCCUUGCGGAUGGAACCCGAAUAGGCGAUAAACCUGGACGAGAGACUUGAGUGUUUAGGUAGGCCGUGGCCGACUCCCUCGCCCGGCUUCCGCUUGAAGGUUGCCGAGUUACAUGACGUGUACAGGGCGAUAAGUGGCGAGAGCGUGUGUGAAGAAGUACACCCCUGCAGGGUUAUCAUUAUCUAUUCGAAUAGCCGGAUUCCUCGGAUAUGGAAACUUGGACCCCUUGCAUAGUUCAUAGACAAGUGAAAGUGGAUACCCUAAAAUGCGCAAGAUAAGCGUGAGUGCUAUGGAUGGCGUUCUCGUAGGGAGACGGGAGCGGAUCCAUAGUGGUGUAUUGAUAUGGUGAAUAUGUGGACUCGUGUGCGCCACCUCAAAGAGUUACUUGCAGUCGUAGUUCAGGAUAGCCACCGAGUCAAAGCUGGCUUGCUGCAGUUAAACUCCACCACCCCCUUUGUUGAUAAUGAUGCAUAUGUAGUUAGUUCUGAUGUAAGUCUUGCUGGGUACAUUUGUACUCACAUUUGCCUAUUUUAUGUUUUUGCAGAGAGACUUCAGUCUCGCUAGUAGUUCCACGUGGACUUCGACGUUUAGCUUGUUACCUCAGCUACGAUCUUGUGCCCUCGGCAGGAUCUGGUAGUUAGUCAGGCUUCUAAGCCUUUUUCAUUUAUAGAUGUCUGUACUCAGACAUGUUAAGCUUCCGCAUGUGCUUUGACUUGUAUGCUCUGAAUGUUGGGUCAUGAGACCCAUGUUUGUAAUAUCUCGCUCCUCGGAGCCUAAUGAAUAAAUACUUGAGUCGUAGAGUCAUGUUGUGAUGCCAUGUUGUAUUUGCACAUAUCGAGCAUAUUGUGUGUAUGUUAUUAAAAUGCUUGUUAUGUGUGGGAUCUGACUAUCUAGUUGUUUAUCCUUAGUAGCCCCUCUUACCGGGAAAUGUCUCCUAGUGUUUCCACCGAGCCAUGGUAGCUUGCUACUGCUCCGGAACACUUACGCUAGCCGGCAUGUGUCCUUCUUCGUUCCUGUGUCUGUCCCUUCGGGGAAAUGUCACGCGAUGAAUACCGGAGUCCUGUUAGCCCGCUACAGCCCGGUUCACCGGAGUCCUGCUAGCCCAGUGCUACAGCCUGGAUUCACUCGCUGAUGACCGACACGUUUGAUGCUGGGUCAUGGAUGCCUGUCCCUGUAAGUUUGUGCCACUUUAGGUUUACGACUAGCCAUGUCAGCCCGGGCUCCUUAUCAUAUGGAUGCUAGCGACACUAUCAUAUACGUGUGCCAAAAGGCGCAAACGGUCCCGGGCAAAGGCAAGGCGACACCCGUGGGAAUACCGUGCGUGAGGCCGCAAAGUGAUAUGAGGUGUUACAUGCUAGAUCGAUGUGGCAUUGAGUCGGGGUCCUGACAGCUUUGGUAUCAGAGCUUGACUGCCUGUAGGAUUACCAAGCCAAAUUGGUCGAAGUUGAGUCUAGAAAUUCUUUAGUUAUAUAAGGGAAUUGAUUGUGGGAUGGAUUGUAAGGCCCUUUUUACUCCUUAUACCUUAUGCCUUCUGAUCUGAGUCAUCCUAUCUUUCCUACGGGGUUAAGGAACUAGGCCUUCUCUUCUUUCUACCAGGAUCACGUCUUACUAAUCCGUAGACUUGUAGGAUUGAUGGAUUCAAGUCUCAGUUCAGUUUGUAUUACUUCUGUGUGUUCAUAGUUGAUCUCGAAACCUUGAUAUUGUGCUUCUGAGUGGCGAUGCCACCAUUUUUGUAGCAUGUCUAACAUUCUUUUGAGCAUUUACAGCCGUUAUGCUGUCCGAGUCAUCCCAGGUUUCUAAACAGUCUGAUGCAUUUGCAAAUCCCUUCCUCUCGUUCCUGAUGUCCUUUUAGGCCAGGUUAAUCACACUAAUUGCUGACUUGAGGUAUUCUAUUGCCUCGACAUAUAUGUUGGAGUUAUUAUUAUGACCCUAGGUGUCUUAAAGUACCACCUAGUACCCUAGCCAUGCUUUGUGUUCUCAUUGUGAUGAUUCUGGCCACCGUCAUUCUCGAAAGCAUCCCGUGAUGCCACUUAGUAGUAGGUAUUCUACUCCUUGGGUUUUCAACCCGAGAUUCACCCUACUUACGUCGUGUUGAUCGUGUUGCUAGUUCCUUUAGGAUAUUAGUAACCUUUGCGAUAGUCCUCGAGGUCCGUGGUAUAUCGUUCUUCCAAAUACCAUGAACCAUUCUUGGCAGGAGUUCUUUUGAACCCAAAGAUCACAACCAAAGCGCUCUUGAUGAGUUCUCCAUUCUAUUCUGUGAAUCUGCCAGUCCUACCUUCUGCGUGGGUUAUCCGGAAGAAAUGUUGAGCUUUGCUCGACAUACUAAUCUAUGCACCCACAACUCAGAAAGAUAUAUGUUCCUUUGAGUUGUCCCUCUUUAGUUGUCUUCUGACCCUCAUCUAUCAAUUGAUAGCCAAGAGUAUGCGUGCAUUCGUUCAUCGAUGCCUAUUACCCUUGUGGUCCGUCAAGCCAUUCUAUUCCAGGAUGACUAGGAGAAACAAACUCCAGAACCUCAUCCAUAUCCAGGAUUGGGUCAAAGCAGUUGUAAUUCGCAGAUCAAAAUGCCAAUCCAGCUUCUGGUCUGUUCCACCUUGAAGUAUUACCUUCCUUGUGUCAGGAUUGUCAUGAGAAUUGCACCACCUCUUAUGAAUUCUUGACACAGUGAUACUUCUCGCCAUCAUUUUUAUUUCUCGGUUUCCGUGUUGUUGCAACCGGAAUGCUGACAGGUGAACUAUGAUGUGUGAAAUCAAUACUCCUGGCAACUUUGUUGUUGGGUAGCUAAUGGACAACAAUUUCAUUCUUAGCGUGUUGGUUAUUGAAUCAUCAUCCGAAGAUUGAUCGUGCUACCUAGUCCAUAUUUCCUGGUGCACUCUUCGAUCAAUGAGUUAGGAUUAUCCAAUUCCUUGCUUAUUUCACCAUAUCACCUUGCCCUGAAAAGCAAGAUUGAUCUCGAGCUUAGAAACAUACCGGUGGUUCGUGAUUUUACGAAUAUCUUCUCGGAGGUAUCACCAGGUUGUCACCUGACCGCUAUGUUGAUUUCGUGAUCAAGUUGGUUCCUUGUAACCACCCUUUCUCCAAGAAUCUGUGUUGGAUACCCUGGGCUAGUUGGCUAAGCUAAACAACAACUUGGAGAGUUGGAAGAUGAAAGCUUGUCCGACUCAGUUCAUUCCAAAGGGAUAUCUUUGUGUGUGUGUGUGUGUUAAAGAAAGAUGAUGUCUUCAUUGAUUGAUCCUUGUGGUCAAUUGUUGGAUUUAUUGUCUUACCCCAACCUUUGAUUUGAGUAUGGGCUAUCAUCAAAUCAAAUCAGAACCAACGAUGUUCGUAAUGUUGUCUUACUCGUGGAUUUUCCUCGAGCAUACACCAUUAUAUCUUUUGGGUCUGACCAAUGCUAUUACAUUGUUCACAUAAUUGUGGAACUCCAUUUAUAUGGGAACACAGAUGAAUUGUUUUUGAGCCCAUCAACAACAUUGUUAUCUUCUCCAUGAUCCGUGUUGAACAUCCAGCUAGUGUUGGAAACUUGUGUAAACAUUUCUUCGUGUUUCGUUCAUGAAGCAUAUGUUCGGAUGAAAGAAGUGACUACCUCCGAUUCACGUGUAUUUGGUGAAAGUUGCCGCCAUGAAUUCGAGAAAGUUUGUUUUGCCUCCUUUGGAAUCACUUCAAAUCAGUCAUGCAUCUGUGCGAAGUACUCUGUGGUUUGGAGACUUGCAACCUUCAUUCUAUAUGUGUCCCUAGCACACUAAGCCACUGAUUGAUUUGUUCAAGGAUAAGAAGUUCAUCAAUAAGUGCACAAGGACUUCGAUGUCCUCGAUGGUGGUUCCCCACCUGAACUCGGUAGUGUUUUAUUAUAAGACUACUACGUGGUCAUGCUUGUCUCGGACAACGUGUUCACAUGUAUGUAGCAGAAACAGCUCAUGUUUUGGAGCUUGCUAUCGUAGUUCAUUUCCCGAGAAUCUCGCAACGUCAUCUCGUCGGUUUGUGUUGCAAACUUUCAUUUCUCUUUCUAGACUUGAUGAGUCUGAAAUAUCAUGUUACCAAUCAGAUCUGAAUCUUAGGCAGAUAUGAUGGUUGGAACUUCUCCCAAGAACUAUGAUAUAGGUUCCAGUGAAGUGGACGCACCUAGCUGGAAGUACUAUUAUUGUAGUAUCUUGUUUAAGUCGUUUGGUCACCUCCCAUGAGGAUCACGCAUGACUUAUUCUAAAAAGUUGAUCCUUAUGGAUUUUGUGCUCCCGAAGUCCGACCUUUUACUUGAUGUCCUAGAUAUGAAACCAUAUCUAUGAAUGGGAUACACUAGCACAUCAAGGAGAACAUUAGAAGCGGAGUGCUGAAUGUCUCUCGGUCGAUCAUCCAGAUUUUGUUUUCUUGGCCUCGCUAAGGUGAAAUCUGAGAAGGUUAUCCUCCUUUGCAUCUGCAUCGUCCAUCGUUGUUCAUCAUGGUAGUCCAUUGUGUUGCCAGGAUCCUUGACACGGAUAUUGGUAAGACCUUGAUGAAUAUGGAAAUGCUCAAGUUCUUGAGAGCACGCUCAGUCACUGGGUUAUAUCCUCGACAUGAGCUGGAAUGUACUUUCCGUUUGCCGAGUUGUCUUAUAACUCUAGUUCUCUUUCCGAUCCGAGUAUGCCAUUUCUUCAAACUCCUUCAAACGAUCGUUUGUAUUUUUUUUCCUUGGGCUAGUAUAAAGUGUUUCAAUGAUCUUUGUAUCAAAAGUAAUUCUUUUUUCCAUUUAAGGUAAUAAUUCUACGAGUCACCUUCCUUAAGUUGUCUCGUUAUGUAUCAUGGCAACUCAACUCCUUGCUACGUUGACAACCGUUCACCACCUUCUUAAGUGUGGAAUUGUGUCUACGUAGUGAACCUUCAUCAUCUGUUACACUCCAUCCCUCUAGAUGUAUGUUUCUUGUCUCAACUCGAGAAAUGUUCAAUGUCUCAUUCCGCGAGUUGAUCAUCGGUUGUUCAAUCUUCGAGAAGAUCGAUUCUUCUAAAAUCCUCCCUUUCCUCUCGUUGUCAUGUUGGAUGUAGGUCUCAAAGCAAGAUGUCAAGAUCAAGAUGAUGCAAUGAAUCAACAUUCUCGAGAAGGACACCUGGAUCGUGAAGAUUGUCUUAGUUUGCGUCCCCCCUCAUCUUACCCUACUCCUGAAUCUCGGGACGAGAUUCUUGUUUAGUGGGGGUGAGUUGUCACAGCCCUAGAAUUCUGCUUUGUAAUUAGUUGCAUCAGUGAGUGGCAUCCAUGCAUCAUGUCUGAAUUUCUAGUGAAAUUGAAUUGAGGGAAAUUCUCAAGCCUCACAGAUCAUUUCUAAAAAAUGAUCAACCUUAAAUAAAUUGCUUCAAAUGAGUCCAAGAAAAUGUUCCUGUUAUUUUGAAAAAAAUAUUGGCAUGAGGUAAAAUGCAAACCGAUAUUUUUGGAGUGACUGAAACAUUUAUUUUGGGCCUUUGAAUUAAUUCAAUAACUAUUUGCAUUGGAUAUAUAUUUUAUAUAUAAUUAAUAUAUGUCCAAUAAUUCUGGAACAUUUUAUGUGGUUUGGUAUAUUUCAGUUCUAGCCACAUAAUUAUUUUCAAGAUUUUAUAAAAUGGUUUAGUAUUUUUACUAAACCAAAACAAAACAGAACAAAAUAGAAAAACUGAAACAGAACAAAUAGGAAAGAGAGAGAGCUUACCUGGCGCUCACCUGGAAGCCCAGCUGGCCCAGCACUGUAGCUGAGGCCCAACCCACUAGGGCGAAGCGGUCGUCUUCAACCUCUGCCAGUAGGCAGAGGCGUGUCGACGCCAGCGCGCCCGAGGCCUCCACCUCCUCCCUUCCAGCCUGCCUGGCUCCUCCUCGAUGCACCUGACGACGCCACGUGCCCCCUCGGACCCCUCUCACUCUCUCCCCAAGAUCCUCUCCUCCUCUCCUCUCUCUCCCUCCCGCGAUCGAACGGAGCCCGUCGCCGCCGUUCACCGUAGCCACGGCCACCGACCACCCCUCGCCCUGCCGAUGAGUCCAUAAGCUCCGCCGUGACGACCUCUUCCUCUUCACCAAGUCACACGGCGCCGAACGGCCAGGAACGUCGCCAUCGAGCUCAUCAUCGUCCUCUGCCCCGACGAUCGCCGCCCGUCGAUUCGCCGCCCCGAGCGCCUUCCCGAGCCCACGGAGCUGUUCUUCGACCCCCCAGUGAGCUCCUUCACCGUCUCCCCUUAUCCCCAUGGCAUGUAGCUCGCCGUAGCAUCUCUCUCCGCCGUGCCGCGAGGUUCACGCCGCCGGCGAAGUCGUCACCGUGGCUAGAGCAAGCUCAGCUUGCCCCUGAGCACGUCAUCGCGCUCGUGCUGCUCCCAGGAGCCAAACUAGCCCACCCGUUCGUCCCACCGUGCACCACAACGCCGAUUCCAAGCACUCCCGAACUCCGGCCGCCGUGCAAGUCGCUGCCGCCGUCGAUUUAUCCCACCGGAGCCGUGCUGCGUGCAUCCCUCGAUGCGGCCGAGCAAGGGCUAUGCCCUGGUGGCCUCAGCGCGCCAAACCCCUGCCCGUAGCGCAUUCCCGAGCGUCCCCGCCGCGUCUGAGCGCUCGCCGGUGUUUAACCCCGGCGGGAUGACGUGGCAUGUCAUUAGCCGCUAAUGACCCAGCUAACCACCCCUAGAGCCACUGCCAUGUGGGCCCCAGCGCCUAAACUAAUUAGCUCAAUUUCUCUGUUAGAUUAGCACUAAUCCCAGGGGGGCCGCCUGUCAGCUUUGACCUUGGUCAAGUCAACGUUGACCGGUCCCACCGGUCAUACACCCAAACCAGCCUGUGACACUGACCGAAGGGCCCCACUGGUCAGGUUUGACCUGGACCGCGCCCGUUGACCGCUGACGUCACCCUGACGUAAUGCUGACGCAAUUAACAAUUUUCUGGAUUUAAAAUAAAUCCAGGAAAUUUCAGAAAAUAUCCUAAACUUCUAAAAAUCAUAGAAAUUCAACCGUAACUCCAAAUGAAAUACAUUAUAUAUGAAAAAUGAUCAGAAAAAUCCAAUCUAUCCAUCUGUACCAUUUUCAUGCAUGUUAGAACAACUUAUAGCUGCUGUUUAGCACAAAUCAUUUAAAUGGCAUUUGAAUAAUCACAUAUGGAGUUUGAAUUUGAAUCUUGUAUUCAAACCAACUCCAUUUAAUCUGUUGCUAGUUGCAUUAGCUCAAACCACAGCAUAUUGCCUUGUCAUGAUCAUGCAUCAUAUUGUGCAUUUGCAUUGAUUGUGUUUCUUUCUCAGUUGCCGGUAAUUGCCCCCUCUUGAUAGACGCGUUCCGACGAUGAGUUCGAUGACACCGAUGAAGAGAUAUAUUGUCUUCAGAAGUGCCAGGCAAGCAAAACCCCCUUGUUCAUUCCGAUACAAUCCCACUCUCUCGCUCCUGCUCUCUUUUACUGCAUUAGGACAACAACGUUUCAACUGUUACAUGCUGCGGUAGUUGAACCCCUUUAUCCUCUGCAUGACCUGUCAUUCCACAGUAAAUAGAUGAAACCCACUAGCAUGAGUAGGAGUUGUUUGAGCCCUGAUGUGCCUACUCAUUCAUGCUUGUUUGUCAUGCCUGCUAUUGCUUAGAGUUGUGUCAGGUCUGAUUCAUCGGGAAUGAAUCGGAGGUGUGUGAACAUGUCGUACUGUUGAGAGCUAAAUGUGUGAACACGAUUUGGUAAAGGUAGCGGUGAGAGGCCAUGUAGGAGUACAUGGUGGGUUGUCUCAUUGCAGCCGUCCUCAGGAACUGAGUUCUGUGUUUGUGAUCCAUGAACAGUUACUACCACACAUUGGGUUCCGG
Molecule: long non-coding RNA, 9040 nt
Filed under: Triticum aestivum (bread wheat)
Lineage: Eukaryota; Viridiplantae; Streptophyta; Magnoliopsida; Poales; Poaceae
Description: long non-coding RNA (TAES_LNC027620)
Source: RNAcentral